AGUUGCUAAGCAUCGCGGCCAAUCACUGACACUGUCUUUGCAUUGUCAGAUCUCUUUGAGUCCGGCUCAAGGCUGUAGAAGGUUUCGUUGUGCACUCACCACGUGCCUGAGAAAAUGGAGGGAUUUAGCCCUUGAAGCAGCCUGGUUCUUCCAGAGGGGUGUUACGCUUUGUGGCUCUUUGGCCCCAUCUUAUGGACAACAGUAUUAUAAAUCGGAGAUGGACGAUGGUCCUGCAGAGCAGGUGCCCCAGAAGUUUGAUUUCUUAUUAUAAAGUCAAAGUGUAAUGAUGACUCGGUUUCUCCCAGACUACAUUCAGGAAUACCCUUAGAGUUCACCGAUGUUCAGAAAAUCAGUGGCGAGUAUGGAAAUCUUACAUGUGAACAUGUGAACAGAACCGUUGCGCAUGGUAACUCGAAGACUGUGGUAAGGAGUAUGGUGUGUCCAACUAUUGUUACUGGCAUUUGGGAAGCCUCUCUUUGGUUACCAGAUGGUACUUUGGGGCGUUUAGUCUCUUUAAUAAAAUAAUUUAAAAGGGG
RNAcentral lists this long non-coding RNA (536 nucleotides) under Mus musculus (house mouse). Its description in RNAcentral is "predicted gene, 48500". The record is from RNAcentral. Lineage: Eukaryota; Metazoa; Chordata; Mammalia; Rodentia; Muridae.